GUCCAAUUGAAUUUGCUCCAUUCCCUUUAGAGAAUGUGGUAGCAGUAUGUGAUAAGUCUGAAAGAAGACAAAAUUAUUACCAUGAAGGUAUCAAUGAUGUGGACGAGGCAAUAGACCGAAUUAUAAUCGUCAUCAUUGUGAUAAGAGAAUAAUAAAGAUUCUCAAAAUAAUCUUUCACUUUAUGAAAGUAAUAUUUUGUAUAUAACACAUACAGAUGAUUAUAAUCCAUU
RNAcentral lists this long non-coding RNA (230 nucleotides) under Nicotiana benthamiana. RNAcentral describes it as "long non-coding RNA (NBEN_LNC005746)". The record is from RNAcentral. Lineage: Eukaryota; Viridiplantae; Streptophyta; Magnoliopsida; Solanales; Solanaceae.